GGUAAAAUGGCUGAGGUCAGGCAUUAAACUGUAAAUUUAACGACGGGUUAUUCCCUUUUACCA
RNAcentral lists this transfer RNA (63 nucleotides) under Labidostomis lucida. RNAcentral's name for it is "tRNA-Tyr". It matches the Rfam family "tRNA". Rfam says of the family: Transfer RNA (tRNA) molecules are approximately 80 nucleotides in length. Their secondary structure includes four short double-helical elements and three loops (D, anti-codon, and T loops). The record is from RNAcentral. Lineage: Eukaryota; Metazoa; Arthropoda; Insecta; Coleoptera; Chrysomelidae.